AUGCAAGUCGAGCGAGAAGGUUAAGAUGGAUUCUUCGGAUGAUAGAUUAACUGGAAAGCGGCGGACGGGUGAGUAACGCGUGGGUAACCUACCCCAUACACAGGGAUAGCCAUUGGAAACGAUGAUUAAUACCUGAUAACACAUAAUGGUCGCAUGACUAUGAUGUCAAAGAUUUAUCGGUAUGGGAUGGACCCGCGUCUGAUUAGCUAGUUGGUGAGGUAAAAGCUUACCAAGGCGACGAUCAGUAGCCGACCUGAGAGGGUGAUCGGCCACACUGGAACUGAGACACGGUCCAGACUCCUACGGGAGGCAGCAGUGGGGAAUAUUGCACAAUGGGCGCAAGCCUGAUGCAGCAACGCCGCGUGAGCGAAGAAGGUCUUCGGAUCGUAAAGCUCUUUUCUUAGGGAACAAAAAUGCAGGUACCUAAGGAAUAAGCACC
This 439-nucleotide ribosomal RNA is filed under the name uncultured bacterium. RNAcentral describes it as "bacterial SSU rRNA". It matches the Rfam family "Bacterial small subunit ribosomal RNA", at positions 55 to 494 of the family's 1533-position model. The record is from RNAcentral.